CGCCGUCGUGGCCGAGUGGUUAAGGCGAUGGACUAUAAAUCCCUUGGGGUCUCCCUGCACAGGUUCGAAUCCUGUCGAUGCGA
RNAcentral lists this transfer RNA (83 nucleotides) under Ixodes scapularis (black-legged tick). Its description in RNAcentral is "tRNA-Tyr". It matches the Rfam family "tRNA". Rfam says of the family: Transfer RNA (tRNA) molecules are approximately 80 nucleotides in length. Their secondary structure includes four short double-helical elements and three loops (D, anti-codon, and T loops). Lineage: Eukaryota; Metazoa; Arthropoda; Arachnida; Ixodida; Ixodidae. The record is from RNAcentral.